AUCUAGCUAACUAGUCCCAGAUGGGACGAGACGCGCGUCCUGCAU
Molecule: non-coding RNA, 45 nt
Filed under: Schistosoma mansoni
Lineage: Eukaryota; Metazoa; Platyhelminthes; Trematoda; Strigeidida; Schistosomatidae
Source: RNAcentral